AGAGAGUCUGUUUGCCUGGGAGUGCAUGUUUCAAAUGCUUAGCUGCCUAUAAAGCUGUAACAGUUUAGCCUGUGGCCACUGAGGGAAGAAUCUAAAUUAACCUCUGUAGUGACCAUGUGGAAGUCCUGACCUUGCUUGCAGACUUGACCUCUGGAUAUGACAAGGUAGCUUCAAUACAGAUCUACCAUUUAAUUCUGGAAACUAAAAACCAAAAAAACCUCACAGCAAGAAAGAUACAGAAUGUUUCCUGAGAAGUCAGAAGAACCAGUGUACUCUGGUGGCAAAGGAAAAUAGGGUGAAUGUCUACAGUUACUUUUGGGGAAUGAGGUGAGGUUCUGUGCAAUGAUACUUCCCCCUUACUUCACCUGGCUCAGGAAAAGUGCUGAAUCAGCGAAUAGAGUGAAGGAACAAUCAAGAUGAGAUGGCUACUGCUGAUGUGACUCUCUAGGUGAUUAUGUCUCCUCCUGCUGCAGAAGCUGCACGGCACUAAGCUUACAAGGAUACAGAAGCAAACUACCAAAUAUAAAGAAAUUCACUCUGAAGACUAUGAAGAAAUACUUGGCUAUCUUACCAAUUCCUGAAAUAUACUCUGUAAAACUCCACUGACUGUAUGAAUCUCUUGCAAAAACAACCACCAAACCAGGACAAAGUUCAACAUAACUUGGUUAGUGUUUAGAGGUGCCUAUGUCCACCAGGAACAAGGAACCAUAAAUGGCACUUACACCAUGCUUCAGGUAAAUUUGUUACACAGUUUAGUCUUUGAUGGUCUCUGCAUAUGAUCUACCAAUGCUCUACAUCGGUGAGCUGAAUGUUUUACUAACAAAUUGGAAAAUAAAAUAUUUUAUCUUUUUACAGCUAACAACUUAGUAACACCUACUCAGAGUACAUACUUCUUUAUGUACCCAUAUGAACAUGCAAUGCUAUGGAAUGUAAAGAAGUAUGUAUUUUUGGUAGGCAAUAAACUGCCAAGAGGGAACUAAACCUCAGCUAACAGAAGCAAGGUAAAUUAACCUAGUAUCAAAGAGAUGGCCUCUGGCAAUACUAACACCAUAAAAAUGUACCUACUACUUAUAGAUGGAAACUGAAUGUCAUUAAGAUUUAUAUCUUGUGAAGAAAAAGUUCUAUUGCAAUAGAUUUAAAAUGAUAAAACUUUUAAAUCUUUUAAUCGUAAAAUAUGCUACAUUUUACAUUUUUUAAGUACCCACAUGACUAAAAUUUCAAUACAAGAGAAAAAACAGUAUUACCGGCACAAAAAAAUUAGGAAUACAAAUGACCUAUUUUCUGUCUCCACAACCCGACCUUAGUCACAUUUGUAGGGUCAACUGAUUUGUUAAGAAAUAGAAGAUAUAACAAAAGUUGGCUUCAUUUACAUUUUAACAGGAUUCUUCAUAUUUUAAUAAAUUUAUCAUGUACUAAUUAUUACAGGAAUUUCUGAAGCAAGUUUUGCUGCUUUAGAUUUCUUUUUUGAAAGUUACACAGAAUUCUAAAAGGCUAUCUUUUAAGUAAUAUUCUAUCCUCAAAAAAAAGAAGUCCUUGUCAAGUUUAUCAGGUCCUUAACCCAGUCUCUACUUUAAAUGUCAUGCUAGUACUUAGAAUAAAUUAAAACAUAAGAUUAAUGGAUGAAAAAUGAUAAUCUGAGCCACAGUUCUAAGUCUGAUAACAGACUGAUAUUUAAAAGAAAUUAAUGUAUUAUCUAUAUUCCCUGAAUUUGCUUUUUGCCAAGGAGACACAUAAAAUGAAAACACUAUUGUCAAGAAACCAAUUUACAUGGAUAAAAUAACCAUCUUUUAUUGGUACUAUGCAAUUACAAUUUAAUUUUUAUAAACACUAGAACCACAAUUUAUAGUAUGUUAGAUAUAAAAAUAUCACUAGGUUUUAGACAAAAUUUAUUCUAUACAGUACAUACUUAUAGAUUAAUAAAUUGUAAAUAAUAAAGCUCUUAGCAAUACUUUAUUAGCAGUACUGUUUUAAGCUACUAUGAAAGACUUAGGAAUAAAGAAAUACUAAUACUAAAUUCCUAUUUAGACAUAGUAUUUAUACUAGAAACAUGCAUUUCAAUGGAAUAUUUAAACAUGUAUGAAAAGUAUAAUAAUAAUUUUAAAUUUUUUCUAUGUCACAAGUUGAACAGAAAUGGCUAUAAGGUUAACUGUAAUUUUCUCUGUGUUUAAUAAGACAACUAGAUAGUUGUCAAAAAGAUAGUUUUCACUGCAUCAGAUUAUAAUGAGAAUGACUGUUAGAUACAGUAGCACAUAAGUUAUUGCAGGUUUACUAGAAAUUACGAAAAGCUCAUGAUUUUUACAAAUUCUACAUUUUCAAACAAUUAGUUCAAAGCCUAACUCACUUAAGCAUAGACCUUCUUUCUGAUCAUCCACAAACAGAAUGGUAAUGCUUCAUACUGAAUUUGUUAAAUUUGUUAACUCUACAUGCCCUAAAUACCAACAACUGAAAGUAUGUAUCAUAAAAAGGUUCCUCUAUAAAACUACUCAAAUAGUACUAUACUGUUUUAAUAACAAUCAUAUUUAUUUUUCUAUAGGAAUAAAACUUUUUAAUAAUUAUUUUAAAACAUCCCAGUGACUAAGAAUCGUAUUGCUCUAAUAUUAAGGAUACAUACUCCUUAGAAAAUACAAUGAGUGCAUCUGUUCGUCAUUUUAAAAGGAAAAUUAUAUACUGUUUCUAGAGCUUACAGGUUUAACUUAACAUAUCUAGCACUAUUUUCAAUCACUCUAAAAUGUCACAUUCAUCCCUUAGAUCAGCUGUUCAUUUUUAACUGAGUACAUAUUAAAUUCUGGGCAUCUGCUGACACUGGUGUAACUCAAACAUUUCAACUGUCUCUCUGACAGGGAUAACAGAUGCUGACAUUAUCAAAUGCUGUACUAUUUUUUUUCCAUGGCCUCUUCUUGCCCCGAUAUGGCCAGUAUAUGAAACUGAACUGCCAUCCAAAAGCACACUUGAGCAACUGGACCUGCUACACAGCUCCCAUAUAACUAGUAAAAAUAGAAGCCAGUUUUAUUGCUAUCUUCAGUACUUAAGUCCAGGCAAUUUAACACCUGUUUCAUUUCUAUUAAAAUAAAUGAUGGAAAGAACUGUAGUUACAUUAAUUUCACCAGUAGCAGCAUGAUACUUACCAAGCAACAGAUGCAGAAUAUACUUAAUAUGAGAAUUGUCAGAUUAUUGCCUGAAUUAGUGUUGACCUUCUCCCAGCAUAAUUCAAAACGGUAACUAUUUCUUUACUCUUUAUAUUUCACUGAGAGCAUUUACCUUAUAGGCAAACUGUAAUUCCUCAAACUUUUACUUAUGCAAGUAUAUUACAGAAGACAUCUUUUCCCUGAUGUUGAAAUGCAAUACUGAAAUCACAUUAUAACAAAAAUUUGCUGUACUGAGUUUUAAAGUAUUACUCACAUGGUACACUUUAAUACUCACACUCAUUAACUGUAGCCAAUCACCACAAGUUAAUGUAUUAUUAAACUGAUAAUGAGAAGUAGCCAAUCUGUACCCAAAAUGACAGACUUCUGUCAAGGAAAUAGAGAUUUAAAAGGGUUAAGUUACUAACCUAUGAUUAGUAACACAACAUAAGCAAAAACAAAGAAAAAUGAGCUGGCAUACAUGGUGGUUCCUUUCAACACAAGUCCAAGCAAUACACUGAAUACAUAUAUGAUCUAUUUAUAAACCAGAGGGCAGAGGUAUUUUCCUUAAGGUUACUCAUUCCUCUACCCUCAGUCAGCAACUUGCCAUUAGUCCCUCAAGUAUAAUACUAAAAAAAGCAGCGGUGGUAGAAAGGUCUGACUAGCAGAGCAGUACUAUUCCCUAACUUAUUAGCUUAUUUUCCUUGGUUUACUGCCUAGAGAUAAAUAAAAAAGAUUAUUACUCUGAAAUAAAUCAAGGUCUAUUUUUUCCUUUAAAUGCUGUUGGCUUUGAAACAGGCUACUUGUGUACAUUUAAGAAUUAAGCAGAGAUGUUAAAAACAAAGACGUACGUUGAUAAUCCUUUACUGCAUUAAUGACAUUUUAAAGGGUAAAGAUUCCUGCACUAUUGGAGCAGGUCAUAGUAGGAAAAGCACCUUGAAUAUAGAAAAUUUUACAUUCAGUGACUGAAGAACUGAUAUGAGAGUCUUUAACAUUUGUAGAAGGCCCAUAAUUUUACAAAUACAAAGCAUUUUAACUGUUUUGGAUCCCCAACUAGCCGCACUACAAUGCUUUGCUAAAGCUGGUAAAAUGGAACCAAAUCGCCUCUUCAAUGGAUUUGGUCCCCUUCAACCAGCUGUAGCUAUGCAUUGAUUACAACGGGACAGUUAACGUUUCAGUCGAUUUCAAUCACGUGCCAACUACUUUCAGCUUAAGUUAUUCAGCUUGUGGUUGAAAUAAUUUGUUACUCUUAAUUCUACUUGCAAGAGCCAUAGUGUUUAACAAUGUUCAUAAAAAAAGCUUUAUGAAAAAUGUGUGGAUGACUUAAGGAUUUCAAAUAAAAUCAUUUUACUUAUUUGUGGUCUCUUGGUAUUAAACUUAUCCUCCAGAAAAGAAAUGGUAAUGAAAUGUAGACUAUGCUAAAUUAAAAAAACAAACAAACAAAACUUCCUUCAAAGGAAGAAAACAUCUGAAAGAUCACCUAAACCCACCUGACACCGUUAACAGGAAUGCUACAGUGCAUUUCACAAGGACAAAUCCACGUUUUAAGUUAAAGGAAAUAUAACAUCAAAUAAAAUAAUACACUAGAAAUGUUGGGUCACUAUCUUCCACAGGAUUAGCAUUUAGCUUUACUGCUUUUUACCUGAACAUUGAUUGGUAAGGUGAAAAAACAUGAUGGUACUGCAGAAUACCUUGUGGAGAGACUUAAAUAGUAAGUAUCUAGCUUUUCCAACCCCGAACCAAAAGUUUUUAACCCUCAAAAACGAAAGAAAAUGCUGAACAUCACUACUGUUUAUUGGUGUGGCUAUUCCCCCCCAUCCAAAAGUCGUUUCCUCCAUUGUAAAACAAAGAUCUCUUCUAAUAAUAACAUUCUAUGACUCUCCUGUCUUUUUUGUCCUUCACAAAAAAUAUACACACAUCUCCAGUGAAGAGAAAAAUGAAGGAAGAGGAAAGGCAAGUGAUCCAACAUUCUUCUAAUUUUCUUAUUGAUGGCAAUAAAACUACUGUUAAUGUCAUGUUCUUUCAAAAACAGAGAUAAUCAUUUAAGUAAUAAUGGCUACUAAUGGUAAGUGGUGGUGUAAAAACCUAGAUGUUUACACAAUCCUCAACUCCUAAUCAUGCCCCUAUUUCAAAGUGAAGCUCAUCCCUUAAAGGAACAUGGGCAAAGGCAAGUAUAUGUAAAGAAAUCUUAUCACUUCAUUCAGGUUAGCAGGUCUUCUUGCACAUAUUAUAUCCCAGUCACAUAAAUAUAUUUAAGUAUUAUAAGGCACAUAGUGUUUGGGUAACUGCAUGGACACAUAUGAGAGAAAUGGACAUACAAUAAGUACAUUACCAUUUAACAGACUCAGCCACUUUUUGUAGAGCACUCAACAUGUUCAGAGUUUAUAAGAAAAAUAAGAUAUGGUCCAGAUAAUCAAAUCUUCCUAUCUUCAACAAAGUUUCAAUUGCCAGACCAUAUUUCAAAAUUAAAAAAAUUAAAGGUAUCACAACAGUCUAGAGGGAAUAUUAAGAGUAGCUCACAUAUUCCAGUAAGAGUAUGUAUCUUUAUGGGGAUAGAUAAGUA
This is a long non-coding RNA of Manis javanica (Malayan pangolin), 5685 nucleotides long. RefSeq lists it as uncharacterized. The record is from RefSeq and is a predicted model, not a curated record. NCBI's taxonomy places the organism in Eukaryota, Metazoa, Chordata, Mammalia, Pholidota, Manidae.